RNAcentral lists this ribosomal RNA (417 nucleotides) under Triticum aestivum (bread wheat). RNAcentral describes it as "partial small subunit ribosomal RNA". The record is from RNAcentral. Lineage: Eukaryota; Viridiplantae; Streptophyta; Magnoliopsida; Poales; Poaceae.
CUGUCCAAAGAAGUUCUCAUCCAAGUUGCUUCCCUUGAGUCCUCCCACGCCAUCUGGACUGCCUUGGCCACUAUGUUUUCCGCUGUCUCGCUGUCUCGUGCCAACAAUCUUCGCCCUGCACUCACUAAUGCUCAGAAGGGCUCCAUGUCCGCCUCUGCCUACUUUGGCCAGAUGCGAUCUCUCUCCGACGAGCUCACCGCGGUGGGCAAACCCCUUGGAGACGGGGAACUCAUCUCUUUCAUCGUCGGCGGACUUGACAUGGACUAUCAACCCAUCAUCUCCGCCCUCGAUGUCCGCACCGAGCCCAUCACCGUCGACGGUCUCUUCUCCCUUGUGUCAAACUUCGAUCAGCGUAUGGAGAUGUUUCACGGUGCUGGCAAUGGCGGUUUCAAGUCCUCCGCCAACAUCGCCUCACGG